This 240-nucleotide unclassified non-coding RNA is filed under the name soil metagenome. Its description in RNAcentral is "partial contains 5.8S ribosomal RNA, internal transcribed spacer 2, and large subunit ribosomal RNA". The record is from RNAcentral.
AACCAUUCUCACCUGCGGCUAGACCUGCGGAAGGAUCAUUAAAAAGAGUGUGUACCCCUCUGUAAAAUGAGUGGGUUACCUCCCGUCCUUUGUUGACCUCUUAGGAGGUUUUUUGAACUUUUCUGCUUCGGUGGGGUUAAACCUACCGGAACACCCUCAAAUUCUGAUCAUUUAAAAAUUGUUCAGUCCGAGGAUUUUUGUUAAUAAAACAAAAAACUUUUAACAACGGAUCUCAGAUCG